Non-coding RNA from Coturnix japonica (Japanese quail), 5813 nucleotides. NCBI's taxonomy places the organism in Eukaryota, Metazoa, Chordata, Aves, Galliformes, Phasianidae. The record is from RefSeq and is a predicted model, not a curated record.
UUGUUCAGAAUAAAUUUCAACAGCCACAUUGCUGAUGAAAUAAAGAACACUUGCGAAAUUUGCAGAAGACCACAAGCUGAGGGAACUCCAACACUUUGAAAGUCAGAAUUGGGACACAGACUAUACUGGUGUCUCAGAGAAGAGGAUGAGAACAAAAUACUCUGCAGGGUUGUAAGGAAAAACUCCACACUCAUCAAGGAAAAUCUGCACUCCAGAACCCACAAAACUUGGAGUCACUGAUAAAACACAAAGCUAUGGAGAAGAUCUUGAGGUUAAGGAUACGGGUUACAGCAAAAAGGUAAACAUUGGACAAAUCUGUAUAUAAAAAAGAGCUCUUUGUCUGACAUACAUGUGAUGUUUUCUCCCUCUGCUCAGUGCAGAGAAAAGUGUCUAGUUUUGAACACUGAGCCCAUGAAGCUGAAGUGAGCUUGUUCCCUGUUUUGGCUCUAUGGCAUGAUUAAAGGAACUUGGUUUGUUCUGUCUAAAGAAGAGAGGAACUGAAGCAAGCACAUAAACCAUCUUUAAAAGCGUAACUGGUGAAGAGGGCAGGAAAAAACCUAAAACAGGACAAAAAUAAACAGUCAACAAGCGCACUGCUGUCACUCCAUCCCUGCUCUGAACACAAGAGACUGAAGCUCUGAUGUCUUCCUGCUGCUGCAUUAACAACAGAAAAGAGAAUGCGUAUCUUUAAGUGCCUAUGGGCAUUACCACCUUGCAGUCACCUCACUGUGAUUUCUGCCUCCUUUGUCUGUACCUGGAAAGCUCCAUGUAAAUAGGAAGCUGACACCUGGUCUAUUCUUUAUAAACAAAGCAACUCUGGUACUUUACUGGUGACUGAUUACAGCCUCAAGAAGUGCAUGUACAAAGGUUUGGAAAAACAAAAGUCAUGAUUGCACCAAAUAUAUUUUACAAGGGAUCCCUUGGAUCUGAACAAUAUAAAUAAAUACAAAACCAACUAAGAUUGCACGAUAUAGUAGAAAUGGAUUGAGAUUUCAGGAUAUACACUCCACCAUUACGAGUUCCUUGGUGAUGCUCAGUGGAAAAUUCCCCAACGACGCAUUCAGAUAUGAGCAUCUUCAGGUAAUUGUUUUGUUUAAACAUGUUUGUGUUUGUUUUUUUUUCCAGUCGUGCAGCUACUCCAUCAAUUGGUUUAUUGCAUCUCUAUGCUUAUCAGUCUUUACUGCAUUACUCCAGUUUUACAACUGCGUAAUUCUGCUGCAAGUACAAUAGUUGUACUGCGAUAAAACUGGACUGAUGCCAGCAAGGAACAGUCCCACAGCACUCGCUCUCCAUUAUUUAUAUUGCUCUCAAGCUUCAGUAUGUGGUGUAAUUUCCAAAUACAUUCGUCCUCUUUCUAUUUUGCAAAGCAAAUAAUGAAUUCCUCCUCACGCCUAUUGUUUCUGUGGUAGAAACCAACCUCCAGCAGUCAUCUGCUCCUUGCCUAGUGCAUUAGCAUUACAACCUAUCAUGAAAGAUAUGCACAAGCUUGAAAACGCGGGAUGUGAGAUUGCUUUGCCUCUUAUUUGGUGCAGCCAGUUAAAGCUAAACAAAUUAAAGGCCAGAUUCUUAUCUGACACGAGCCAGAAGCACAUCAAAGCACGCUUGCUUCAAUGGAGCAAUAUCACUUUAUAUCAAUGAGGAAGAUGGUCUUGGGAGUAAUGGAUGCAGCAUCAGUAAACCACAAUGGAAGAAUUCUGCAUAUCUUUUGCUGAGGUGCAGAUGAUUGUGUUAAAUACCAGACUUCAGAUUUUGUCACUGCUUCCGCGAUGCCAGGACCGAAAGACAUAAGCUUAAAACACGGACGGUCUGAUUUGUGCAAGCAACUAAGAGUUCAUAAAGCAAGUCUGAAAUAAAGCACUCUGAACUUGCUUUGCACUGUGUAAAUAAUUACACGAGCUGUAAGGCAGUGGAAAGUCCAGCCUCAAGUUACUUUGGAUCAGUAAUACAAAUCUUUCUGACUACAUUUGAAGACCAGUCACAUGGGAGUAUUUCAACUACUCAGCAGUCCCCCUCUGAAAUUGUGUGCAAUCAUUUAAUAGUCCAGAGUAAUACAUUUACAGUUAAAUGCAGUCUUCUUGUCUUUGGAAGCAACUAGCACGUACGCUCCUAACAGGUGGGUGACAAAAAGUAAGGAAGGGUUCUGCUGCUUCAUUACUUGGUUAUAGAAAUAACUUACUGUUUGAACCCAGAAUUUAAGGCGUAGGACCAAAUUUCUGCUCUAUUAACAUAAAAGUAAGUCAUUCCAUGUGAUUUCAGUGAAACAACUCUAACUUUACACAGGUGUGUCAAGGAGAAUUUGACCCUAGUCCCCAAAGUGGCUACUGAAAGAAGUGCUCUGUAAAGCAUGGGUUUCAGUGUAGUCUUGCUUCCCGCUGCACUCAAACGUGGGGACUUUGAAGGCAGAGUGUAUCUGAUGAAAAGCCGUGCAAAAACUGAAUGACGUUUCUUUACCUUUAAUAAUCUUCUGAUCCUCUGUUGCUUGCAGAGCAUUUGAAGUAGCUGUAGGUUGGGAUUACAGGAGGAGACAAUUCUGCAAUGCAGAGUGAGCUUUUCACUAUCUGAAUUCUGAAGCAUUCAUGAAAACAACAUCCUCAUGACUUCAACACAGAUCACAUGCAGAUUGACAUCAGAGCGAGAAAACUGAAGCAAGACAGUGUACGGCAAUUUCUUGUAACACCUGAGACUUCAACAGAUGAGGACCUUUGAAAAAGAAACCUUUGUUUGUGUAAGUGUGACUAAAAAAUUGAAUUAGAGGCUUCAAAGGACAGCAGAAUAACCCAACUGCAUAUGUCACAGUUCUAUAAAUGGUCACUGGGUAUUCUACAAGGUGAAUAUUUUUGCAUCUGAAAAGCCAAUGUAGGACUGGUUUGCUUUACUUGCUGCAUUCUACACUUAUUCAGCAUGUGUAAAUAGACCAUCAAGAGACUGUUGAGAAGAAAAAUUAUACAGCUAGAAUCUGUAUUCAUAAUCAUUGAAGAUCAUGUUCUACAAGAUUACAGAGAAAGAAAGCAUUGACCACUCUAUUUGGAAGCAAACUCUUUCUCUUGCCAUGUAUAAUCAUGCUCCAAAUCCAGCACGGUGCCUACUGAAGACCAAACUUGCUGCAUGCUGAGCGCUGCUCAAACUCAUCUCAGAGCAUAGCGUGAGAGCUUUAUAUGCUAAAGGAAAAACAGCAUUUUUUCCACGGGGUUUAGAGAUGGUAGACUUAUUCUUUUAGUCUACAAUGACAAUUUAGAAGAACAGAUAUCGAGUUAUAAAUUCAAUGAACAAUAACAUAGCAGGACCUGACCAGCUAGGUCUCACUCUUUAGGACAUGCAUUUGUCUAUUUCUACCUCAGAAGCGGGAUUACAAAACAAGAAUGCGGCCAUGCAGUACAGCGUAUGCAAAUAAAAAUAAUAAGAAAUGCGUGCAGCUCUGUUAUUUAGGACACGUUUUCUUAAGGAUCAAGCGGGCUCAUUUAAGCUUCUUCCUGAAGUUUUUACCAAGGCAAGGACAAAUAGCCAGUGGAACACCUGCCUGCCCCGCAAAAAGGGUAUUGGAAGAGAAGUUUGUACGCCGUGCUCAAACACAGCCCAGUGUGAGUUUUUAGCGUGUCAGUCAGUGAGUUAGAGGGAAAGGGUAAGGAGAAGCUAAUCAGGAUGAAAUGAGAUUAAAGGCUGUCUAAUUUUACAGCAACUGUGAUCCAUCAGCCACUGUGAAAGUGACAGUGGAAAUGAAUGAUGGAGACAGACAGGUGGGGCUGUACAUUUCACUGAUUUAUCCUCAAAUGCACUGGGCCUUAUUUUAUUGAGUGAACAUGACCGCAUUUAUCAUGACUGUCAUCUAAACCCACUUCCCUCCAUUUAAAAAGGUCACUUUACUAGGAGGGAGUAGGAUAGAGGCACUUUCAAAACAGAUUUAAAAUUUAAUAACACAUGUUUAUAAUCCUGUGCAAGAAUUCUCAACUUUAUUAAAGUAAGAUUUAAAAAGAAGACUAUUAAACAGAUGAAAAGAUGGGGGAAAAAAAAAACAACAACCCAUGGUCAACUGAGAAACAAGCUCAGCUACCAAGGUGAUAGGUGACAGGGAAUGACUUGAGACAGGCAGAUGUGGAUUAGAAGUAGCAAGCAGAACCCACAUGUCCUAAGCUCUCUCCCCUCACACACUUUCCAAAACUGUUACUUUUGUGCAUCCUCAGACCAAGAGAAGAAACAAAUCCAAGCAGCCCUAGAUGAGACAGUAUCCCCACCAGCCCUUUUCUCAUGCAAUUCAGACCUCCCUUAAAGUGGGAGGAAUUUUUUCAUGUACAUAUAUGCAACAGGAAGCACUUCCCAGGUUAAAAAUAAACCACUGAUCUACACUUGAGAAUGAUCUGGAAGGCAGAAGAGACAAAAACAAUGCUCAUGAAUCAAAACCCUUUCAACCAUAACAGCUGUGGUCAGCCAGAUGCCAUCAUGCUCCAAAGGCACCUCUAACUUCUGAAUGCUGAGAAUUUGAAUGAUAUCUCUCACUUAGCCCACAAACAAUGACAUCUGCUGUUUGCCUUACCCAGUUUUAUUUCAUUUCUGCCAAGAGUUGUACUUAAGUCGCUCCAAAAGUAAUGCCUCCUAUUUAUUUCCAUGGAAACUACAACAUACACAAAGAGUACAGUAACAGUAUCUGACAGAGCAAAUUUGCAGAUAUUAUAUAUUAUAAACUUUGCAAUAUUCCAACACUGGCACAAUUUGUUUCCACGUGGAGGAAUUCAGUGACACAGCCUUCCUUCACAAGCACUUCCAUGUCUGAUGCUGUUCUGUCAGACUGUCCCUCUGCUGCCAUCUGCCACAUGGCAACAAAAUGUACUGGAAUAUUGGUGGGAAGGCUCAAUAUCUAUUGCUGUACCACCAACCUCUAGUGUAAUGGGUCAACACAGUAAAAGAGGAGGCAUUACUUUCAGAGCAGAUCUUGUACAUUUAGGAAACAAUAUCUGGUUGUUCUUGAUACAUUAUCCAAGGGCCACCGAUUCCACACUUUGAUACUAACCAGCAGAGAAAAAGAGAGAACGGGAAUGGCAUGUCUAAAGACAGAAAGAGAGAUAAACGCUGGUCCCAGGUGAUCUGAACAUUGUGAUACAGCCCACAACUAUGCCCCUGCUCUGUUAAAAACUCUCAGAAACUGCACUCAAUUCUUCUAUUUAAGGACUUAAAUAAAUAAUAAUAAUAAUAAAAAAAAAACGUAGAUUUUUCACAACCCUGAAACAUUCAGCUGCUUGGGAUAUAGGACGUACUGUGAUGAAAACCAAGAAAUCUCUUCCUAAGAUGCUGCAUAGCUUGAGCACAGCCCCUUCAAGACACAGCACACACCGAAAAGUCGUGGUUAUCAUCUCUAAUGAACUGUGCAGAUGAUGCAAGAGAAGAGAGUGCUUCCAGGACCAGGAUAUCAUUACCAGAAAAUAUAAGGAGGCAAUAAUGACCUUCCACAAUAUUAGCUGCCUAACUUGUUGGAUGCAUAAUAUUCAACAAAUGCUGCUUGAAAACUGAGUCUUUCCACGUCUCUCCAGAGGGCAGAGUAACGUGAGAAGAUGUUUCAUUCCCAUACACAAGGCACCUGCAAACUCACUGUAGGAGAAUGUGAUUUGCUCAUGGCAGAAACAUAACAUUUUGUUUCCGAUCCACUCCCAAAAAUGUUAGCCAGAGGACAGUUGGUUCAAUUACUUGCUGUAAGGAGAGCAAGUAAUACUGAUUGCCUUUUCUUUGGUUCAUAAAUCAUUUGCAUGAAGACUAUAUAUUUCUACUGCAUGUUACUUGUUAUUACUCACCAAGAGGUUAUAUAAAUAAAUGCUAGAAUUCCUCUG